UACGAGGGGGGCAAGCGUUGUUCGGACUUAUUGGGCGUAAAGGGUGCGUAGGCUGUGCGGUAAGUCACCUGUGAAAACUCUGGGCUCAACCCAGAGCCUGCAGGCGAAACUGCCGUGCUGGAGUAUGGGAGAGGUGCGUGGAAUUCCCGGUGUAGCGGUGAAAUGCGUAGAGAUCAGGAGGAACACCGGUGGUGUAGACGGCUUUCUGGACCGUAACUGACGCUGAGACGCGAAAGCGUGGGUAGCAAACAGG
This 253-nucleotide ribosomal RNA is filed under the name uncultured bacterium. RNAcentral's name for it is "partial 16S ribosomal RNA". It matches the Rfam family "Bacterial small subunit ribosomal RNA", at positions 524 to 776 of the family's 1533-position model. The record is from RNAcentral.